This 253-nucleotide ribosomal RNA is filed under the name uncultured bacterium. RNAcentral's name for it is "partial 16S ribosomal RNA". It matches the Rfam family "Bacterial small subunit ribosomal RNA", at positions 524 to 776 of the family's 1533-position model. The record is from RNAcentral.
UACAGAGGUGCCAAGCGUUAGGCGGAAUCACUGGGCUUAAAGCGUGUGUAGGUGGAUUUGUAAGUACCUUGUGAAAUCCCAUGGCUCAACCAUGGAACUGCUCGGUAUACUGCGAAUCUUGAGCCACUUAGGGGCUACCGGAACAAAUGGUGGAGCGGUGAAAUGCGUAGAUAUCAUUUGGAACGCCAAUGGUGAAAACAGGUAGCUGGGAGUGUGCUGACACUGAGACACGAAAGCCAGGGGAGCGAACGGG